RNAcentral lists this long non-coding RNA (273 nucleotides) under Carica papaya (papaya). RNAcentral describes it as "long non-coding RNA (CPAP_LNC014031)". Lineage: Eukaryota; Viridiplantae; Streptophyta; Magnoliopsida; Brassicales; Caricaceae. The record is from RNAcentral.
AUUCAUAGUAACAUAUACUGGAAUGACCCAUACUCUAGAUGGAGUCACGAGUAUCUGUAGCAGCCCCGAAAAUUUAAAAUGGAAAUUAUAUUAUAAAUAUCAAAUGCGGAAGCGAAGUCAAAAUUUGAAUAACAUCCCUUACACUAAAACCAAAAACGUGCUCGCAAAAUAUAAAAGAUUAAACUACCUAAAGGAGAAACUUGAAAGUAAAAACUACUAAUGUGACUAUGGAGUCUUUAGGCGUCCCCUUCGUCGUCCUCCUGCGGAACCGGC